AGGUGCAUCAAUAUGUGUGUGUGUAUGUGUAUGUGUGUGAUUUGAAGGUACACAAACACAUAACACAGCACACAUACAAACAAA
Molecule: microRNA precursor, 84 nt
Filed under: Choloepus hoffmanni (Hoffmann's two-fingered sloth)
Lineage: Eukaryota; Metazoa; Chordata; Mammalia; Pilosa; Megalonychidae
Description: miRNA (ENSCHOG00000015416.1)
Source: RNAcentral